UACGUAGGGACCGAGCGUUGUCCGGAAUCAUUGGCGUAAAGAGCGUGUAGGCGGCCCUUAAGUCCUGCGUGAAAUCCUCGCGGCUCAACCGGCAGACGGUCGUGGGAAACUGGAGGCUAGAGUGCGGGAGAGGAGGAGUGGAAUUCCCGGUGUAGCGGUGAAAUGCGCAGAUAUCGGGAAGAACACCCGUGGCGAAGGCGGCUCUCUGGAACGCAACUGGACGCUGAGACGCGAAAAGCGUGGGGAGCAAACAGGG
This 256-nucleotide ribosomal RNA is filed under the name uncultured bacterium. RNAcentral's name for it is "partial 16S ribosomal RNA". It matches the Rfam family "Bacterial small subunit ribosomal RNA", at positions 524 to 777 of the family's 1533-position model. The record is from RNAcentral.